This 522-nucleotide ribosomal RNA is filed under the name Triticum aestivum (bread wheat). RNAcentral describes it as "partial small subunit ribosomal RNA". The record is from RNAcentral. Lineage: Eukaryota; Viridiplantae; Streptophyta; Magnoliopsida; Poales; Poaceae.
AUGUGUGAUGCUAGUGAUUGUGUUGUUGGUGUUGUUCUAGGAAAGAGAGUUGAUAGGAAAUUAAAUGUUAUUCACUAUGCUAGCAAAACUCUAGAGAGUGUCCAACAUAAUUAUGCUACUACUGAAAAAGAAUUUUUAGCAGUGGUGUUUUCUUGUGAUAAAUUUAGAUCCUACAUUGUUGAUUCUAGAGUGAUUGUUCACACCAAUCAUGAUGCAAUAAAAUAUCUUAUGGACAAGAAAUAUGCUAAACCUAGACUAAUUAGGUGGGUUCUUUUGCUACAAGAAUUUGACUUACAUAUCACUGAUAGAACAGGAGCUGAGAACCCUGUAGCUGAUAACUUGUCUAGGUUAGAAAAUAUUCUUGAUGACCCACAACCUAUUAAUGACAGUUUUCUCGAUGAACAAUUAGCUACAAUAAAAGUUUUUCAUAACACUUCUCGAUAUGCUGAGUAUGCUAAUUAUAUUGUUGCUAAAUACAUAGCACCUAGUUUCACAUACCAACAAAAGAAAAUUUGCUUCUAG